CCUUUAAUGUUUGAUGUUCUAACGUGGACCCGUGAUCCGGGUUGCGGACAGUGUCUGGUGGGUAGUUUGACUGGGGCGGUCUCCUCCUAAAGAGUAACGGAGGAGCACGAAGGUUGGCUAAUCCUGGUCGGACAUCAGGAGGUUAGUGCAAUGGCAUAAGCCAGCUUGACUGCGAGCGUGACGGCGCGAGCAGGUGCGAAAGCAGGUCAUAGUGAUCCGGUGGUUCUGAAUGGAAGGGCCAUCGCUCAACGGAUAAAAGGUACUCCGGGGAUAACAGGCUGAUACCGCCCAAGAGUUCAUAUCGACGGCGGUGUUUGGCACCUCGAUGUCGGCUCAUCACAUCCUGGGGCUGAAGUAGGUCCCAAGGGUAUGGCUGUUCGCCAUUUAAAGUGGUACGCGAGCUGGGUUUAGAACGUCGUGAGACAGUUCGGUCCCUAUCUGCCGUGGGCGCUGGAGAACUGAGGGGGGCUGCUCCUAGUACGAGAGGACCGGAGUGGACGCAUCACUGGUGUUCGGGUUGUCAUGCCAAUGGCACUGCCCGGUAGCUAAAUGCGGAAGAGAUAAGUGCUGAAAGCAUCUAAGCACGAAACUUGCCCCGAGAUGAGUUCUCCCUGAGACUUAGAGUCUCCUGAAGGAACGUUGAAGACGACGACGUUGAUAGGCCGGGUGUGUAAGCGCAGCGAUGCGUUGAGCUAACCGGUACUAAUGAACCGUGAGGCUUAACCUUACAACGCCGAAG
This 739-nucleotide ribosomal RNA is filed under the name Salmonella enterica subsp. enterica serovar Schwarzengrund. Its description in RNAcentral is "partial 23S ribosomal RNA". It matches the Rfam family "Bacterial large subunit ribosomal RNA", at positions 2204 to 2925 of the family's 2925-position model. Lineage: Bacteria; Pseudomonadati; Pseudomonadota; Gammaproteobacteria; Enterobacterales; Enterobacteriaceae. The record is from RNAcentral.